RNAcentral lists this ribosomal RNA (253 nucleotides) under uncultured bacterium. Its description in RNAcentral is "partial 16S ribosomal RNA". It matches the Rfam family "Bacterial small subunit ribosomal RNA", at positions 524 to 776 of the family's 1533-position model. The record is from RNAcentral.
UACGAAGGGGGCUAGCGUUGUGCGGAUUUACUGGGCGUAAAGCGCACGUAGGCGGAUCGAUCAGUCAGGGGUGAAAUCCCAGAGCUCAACUCUGGAGCUGCCUGUGAUACUGUCGAUCUGGAGUAUGGAAGAGGUGAGUGGAAUUCCGAGUGUAGAGGUGAAAUUCGUAGAUAUUCGGAGGAACACCAGUGGCGAAGGCGGCUCACUGGUCCAUUACUGACGCUGAGGCGCGAAAGCUAGGGGAGCAAACAGG